Molecule: ribosomal RNA, 253 nt
Filed under: uncultured bacterium
Lineage: Bacteria
Description: partial 16S ribosomal RNA
Rfam family: Bacterial small subunit ribosomal RNA
Source: RNAcentral
UCCUUCUUUUUCUCUCUUUUUUCGGAAUUACUGGGCGUAAAGCGCACGUAGGCGGCUUUGUAAGUUAGAGGUGAAAGCCCGGGGCUCAACUCCGGAAUUGCCUUUAAGACUGCAUCGCUAGAAUUGUGGAGAGGUAAGUGGAAUUCCGAGUGUAGAGGUGAAAUUCGUAGAUAUUCGGAAGAACACCAGUGGCGAAGGCGACUUACUGGACACAUAUUGACGCUGAGGUGCGAAAGCGUGGGGAGCAAACAGG